Molecule: ribosomal RNA, 97 nt
Filed under: Leiopelma markhami
Lineage: Eukaryota; Metazoa; Chordata; Amphibia; Anura; Leiopelmatidae
Description: partial 12S ribosomal RNA
Source: RNAcentral
CCAGCCCUAAACUUUGACAACUUACAUACUACCUUCCGCCAGGGAACUACAAGCUUCAGCUUAAAACCCAAAGGACUUGGCGGUGCCCCAAACCCAC